AGUGAACGCUGGCGGUAGGCCUAACACAUGCAAGUCGAACGGCAGCACAGUAAGAGCUUGCUCUUACGGGUGGCGAGUGGCGGACGGGUGAGGAAUACAUCGGAAUCUACUUUUUCGUGGGUGAUAACGUAGGGAAACUUACGCUAAUACCGCAUACGACCUACGGGUGAAAGCAGUGGAUCUUCGGACCUUGCGCGAUUGAAUGAGCCGAUGUCGGAUUAGCUAGUUGGCGGGGUAAAGGCCCACCAAGGCGACGAUCCGUAGCUGGUCUGAGAGGAUGAUCAGCCACACUGGAACUGAGACACGGUCCAGACUCCUACGGGAGGCAGCAGUGGGGAAUAUUGGACAAUGGGCGAAAGCCUGAUCCAGCAAUACCGCGCGAGUGAAGAAGGCCUUCGGGUUGUAAAACCCUUUUGUUGGGAAAGAAAAGAAGCAGGUUAAUACCCCGCUGUUCUGACGGUACCCAAAGAAUAAGCACCGGCUAACUUCGUG
This 492-nucleotide ribosomal RNA is filed under the name uncultured bacterium. RNAcentral describes it as "partial 16S ribosomal RNA". It matches the Rfam family "Bacterial small subunit ribosomal RNA", at positions 29 to 507 of the family's 1533-position model. The record is from RNAcentral.